RNAcentral lists this long non-coding RNA (767 nucleotides) under Nicotiana benthamiana. Its description in RNAcentral is "long non-coding RNA (NBEN_LNC005354)". The record is from RNAcentral. Lineage: Eukaryota; Viridiplantae; Streptophyta; Magnoliopsida; Solanales; Solanaceae.
UUAUACCUUGUAGGGUGUUGAUUUUGUGAGCAAGUAUUACGAACUUAUAUGUUCAGUGUUGUUCUUAUUAGCCGGAAUGGCUGCUGGAUAUCCAGGUGAUGAGUAUGUUGGUAUCGUGGGGUGUAUCUAUGUGACCUUGGUAUGGACAAAAGAGUCUGCUGAAUAAUAGGUGAGUUGUCGAGUGUUCGACUCCUAUGGUUCUUUUAUGUGUAGUCCGAGUUAUGGGCGCGUGAAGAGUAUUUCAUGUCUCUUAGUGGGCAAGUAAAGUACAUUCCAGGUGGCAGUAUGAGUAUAGACUCAGAAGGACUAAAUGACUGUGUAUUACGUAUAUGAUGGUGGAAGGUAUCUAUUGUAUUUUGAAGUAUUAGGAUGCUUAAGAAAGUGGACUCAGCUGAUGUGGAAAUAAAUGAGAGGUUUGCAGAGAAUGUCCGUGCUAGAUGAUCUGUCUAUUCACAAAAUUGUAAAUGACUAGAGUUUAAUUCUCUCUAUAAUGUUGUAAUUUCAUUAGAGUAAAAGUAUUAGGAUUAUGGAGCGUGUCCUGGUAUAUGGCUUCGAGCCAAGUUGGGGAGGUUGCUAUGGAUUAGCUGAUUGCACUGUUGUAUGCUAUAAUUGAUUCUGUUUCAAGGUAUGUUGGCGGAUCAGGUCUGGUCGUAGGAAUUGAUCCGAGAAUGGCGCGUGUGAAGAAAAAUUUUGAUAAGGGAUAUAUGAUGCUUCAUUGAUGUGAAGAAAUACUAGGAUGUUUUAAACUACUGUUGAUAAAGAAUUCU